This 823-nucleotide ribosomal RNA is filed under the name Agraphospiza rubescens. RNAcentral's name for it is "Carpodacus rubescens partial 16S ribosomal RNA". The stretch from base 215 to 823 matches the Rfam family "Bacterial large subunit ribosomal RNA", at positions 569 to 1241 of the family's 2925-position model. Lineage: Eukaryota; Metazoa; Chordata; Aves; Passeriformes; Fringillidae. The record is from RNAcentral.
CUUACACCUGAAAAAUAUCUGCUAACACCAGAUCGUCUUGAUGCCAAACUCUAGCCCAACCGACAUGACCUGGAAUAACAAAGCUACUCAACCAACCCAACUAAAGCAUUUACUAGUCCCAGUAUAGGCGAUAGAAAAGACACCUUUGGAGCGAUAGAGACUACGUACCGUAAGGGAAAGAUGAAAUAUUAGUGAAAUAAACUAAGCUAAAAACAGCAAAGAUCAACCCUUGUACCUUUUGCAUCAUGGUCUAGCAAGAAAAACCAAGCAAAAUGAAUUUAAGUUUGCCUUCCCGAAACCCAAGCGAGCUACUUACGAGCAGCUAUUUUGAGCGCACCCGUCUCUGUGGCAAAAGAGUGGGAUGACUUGUUAGUAGAGGUGAAAAGCCAAUCGAGCUGGGUGAUAGCUGGUUGCCUGUGAAACGAAUUUUAGUUCACUCUUAAUUCUUCUCCAAGGAAAAUACACGAACCCUAAUGAAGCGAAUUAAGGGCUAUUUAAAGGAGGUACAGCUCCUUUAAAAAAGAAUACAAUCUCUACGAGCGGAUAAGUACUAAACCCCUAAUCAUACUGUGGGCCCUCAAGCAGCCAUCAACAAAGAGUGCGUUAAAGCUCUACCCUACAAAAAUAUAUGAACAAUAUGACUCCCUCAUCAUUAACAGGCUAACCUAUAUUUAAAUAGGAGAAUUAAUGCUAGAAUGAGUAACCUGGGGUCCUCCCUCUACGACGCAAGCUUACAUCGGCACAUUAUUAACAAAUCACCAAUAUACGACAAAUCAAACAAGCAGAGUAUUAUGCACAUUGUUAACCCGACAGAGGAGCGUCU